Molecule: ribosomal RNA, 492 nt
Filed under: uncultured bacterium
Lineage: Bacteria
Description: partial 16S ribosomal RNA
Rfam family: Bacterial small subunit ribosomal RNA
Source: RNAcentral
AGUGAACGCUGGCGGUAGGCCUAACACAUGCAAGUCGAACGGCAGCACAGUAAGAGCUUGCUCUUACGGGUGGCGAGUGGCGGACGGGUGAGGAAUACAUCGGAAUCUACUUUUUCGUGGGGGAUAACGUAGGGAAACUUACGCUAAUACCGCAUACGACCUACGGGUGAAAGCAGGGGAUCUUCGGACCUUGCGCGAUUGAAUGAGCCGAUGUCGGAUUAGCUAGUUGGCGGGGUAAAGGCACACCAAGGCGACGAUCCGUAGCUGGUCUGAGAGGAUGAUCAGCCACACUGGAACUGAGACACGGUCCAGACUCCUACGGGAGGCAGCAGUGGGGAAUCUUGGACAAUGGGCGCAAGCCUGAUCCAGCCAUACCGCGUGGGUGAAGAAGGCCUUCGGGUUGUAAAGCCCUUUUGUUGGGAAAGAAAAGCAGCAGGUUAAUACCCCGCUGUUCUGACGGUACCCAAAGAAUAAGCACCGGCUAACUUCGUG